Molecule: ribosomal RNA, 253 nt
Filed under: uncultured bacterium
Lineage: Bacteria
Description: partial 16S ribosomal RNA
Rfam family: Bacterial small subunit ribosomal RNA
Source: RNAcentral
UACGUAGGGUGCGAGCGUUGUCCGGAAUUACUGGGCGUAAAGAGCUCGUAGGUGGUUUGUCGCGUUGUUCGUGAAAACUCACAGCUCAACUGUGGGCGUGCGGGCGAUACGGGCAGACUAGAGUACUGCAGGGGAGACUGGAAUUCCUGGUGUAGCGGUGGAAUGCGCAGAUAUCAGGAGGAACACCGGUGGCGAAGGCGGGUCGCUGGGCAGUAACUGACGCUGAGGAGCGAAAGCGUGGGGAGCGAACAGG